RNAcentral lists this ribosomal RNA (301 nucleotides) under uncultured bacterium. RNAcentral describes it as "partial 16S ribosomal RNA". It matches the Rfam family "Bacterial small subunit ribosomal RNA", at positions 509 to 808 of the family's 1533-position model. The record is from RNAcentral.
CAGUCGCCGCGGUAAUACGAAGGGGGCUAGCGUUGUUCGGAUUUACUGGGCGUAAAGCGCACGUAGGCGGAUCCUUAAGUCAGAGGUGAAAUCCCAUGGCUCAACCUUGGAACUGCCUUUGAUACUGGGGAUCUCGAGUUCGGGAGAGGUGAGUGGAACUGCGAGUGUAGAGGUGAAAUUCGUAGAUAUUCGCAAGAACACCAGUGACGAAGGCGGCUCACUGACCCGAUACUGACGCUGAGGUGCGAAAGCGUGGGGAGCAAACAGGAUUAGAUACCCAGUAGUCCCUGUCUCUUAUACA